Molecule: non-coding RNA, 24 nt
Filed under: Cricetulus griseus (Chinese hamster)
Lineage: Eukaryota; Metazoa; Chordata; Mammalia; Rodentia; Cricetidae
Source: RNAcentral
AACACUGAGAGCAAUGGGAGAUGC